UACCUGUACUUCAAAACCCAUAAAAUAUGAUUGUUUUAUUAAAAUACGAUAUUGCACUGUAUUAUUUAUCUAUAGUGAACAAAACUUUAUUUGUAGUUCAUCUUCCACUGCCUACUAUCAGGUUGCCAUGGUGAUCUGAUUCAUCUAGGGAUGUCACAAUGAAACCUGAGCCAUGGCUAUCUGAUGUAGUGAUGUCACAAUGUAACCUGUACUGCUUACUGAUUUAACUGUCAUAGUUGUUACUAGCUAGUCAGCUGUUAGGAGCUUUUAGGAGCUGUUAGGAGCUGAAUAGCUAAUUCAUCUGAACCUUUUCUGAAUCUGAAUAUUUUUCUACCUAUCUACACAUUCAUCAACUAGAAAGAAUUUUAGAAUGAAUUCAUUUAGAGAGACUGAGACAAUUCGCACAACUGAGAGAACAGUGACAAUGGUGCUAAGAAGGAGAAAGCAUCCAUCUCAUUCCCAGGGGAUCAGGAAACUACAAGGUGCUGGAUACAUGGACAGCCCAAAAUUGAAAAUUAUUCUUCUUUUGCUCAUUGCUUUGCUACUUGUUUGCCUUGCAAUACUGAGUUGGAUUGUUCUGAAGAAAAAUGAGAAAAUUGAAAAGCUGGAGAAUCAAAUACAAGUUCUGGGCACUCAAGUGAGGAAACUUGUUGAGAAGGAACAGAAACUCACUGAGAUUAUUACAGUUCUUGAGAAAAAAUUCCAAGAAUCAGCAGAUAAAGUUGAAACUUUAGCCAGGAAAAUGCAGCAAUCGGAAACUCCAGAGAACUUUGCAAAUUUGGGAUCAUCCCGUGACACACAGGAUGAAGUAACCCUUUCACAGAAGGCUUCAAUGUAUUUCUUGAAGCUGUUAAAAAUAUUGUUCUGAGCUAGAAAAAGUCAGCUCAGAGGGGCUUGGCCUACAUUUGUAUGGGGUAGGGUGGGAGGUGGGUUAUCCCUGUACACAGGCCAGCUGCUAUACAGUCAUUUCACCUUGUUCUAGGAACCCCAUUACUGACUUGUCUGGUUCCAUCAACAUGAACCAACCACAAUGGUUCCUUACCAAUUCUGGUGCAGCAAUAUUUUACUUUAUGUACCGUAAUGUUAGAUACUUAUGUAUUUUCUACUAAAGAUAGUAACAUAUAUUGCUAAGAAACAGUAAUAAAAAGACUAUGGGAAGAACCGUAA
Long non-coding RNA from Xenopus tropicalis (tropical clawed frog), 1167 nucleotides. RefSeq lists it as uncharacterized. The record is from RefSeq and is a predicted model, not a curated record. The transcript is spliced from 2 exons. NCBI's taxonomy places the organism in Eukaryota, Metazoa, Chordata, Amphibia, Anura, Pipidae.